CAGCCCUAAACGAUGCGCGUUAGGUGUAUCGGUGACCACGAGUCACCGAGGUGCCGAAGGGAAACCGUGAAACGUGCCGCCUGGGAAGUACGGUCGCAAGGCUGAAGCUUAAAGGAAUUGGCGGGGGAGCACCACAACGGGUGGAGCCUGCGGUUUAAUUGGACUCAACGCCGGGAACUCACCGGAUAAGACAGCGGAAUGAUUGCCGGGCUGAAGACCCUGCAUGACCAGCUGAGAGGAGGUGCAUGGCGUAGACGUCU
This 260-nucleotide ribosomal RNA is filed under the name uncultured archaeon. RNAcentral describes it as "partial 16S ribosomal RNA". It matches the Rfam family "Archaeal small subunit ribosomal RNA", at positions 748 to 1009 of the family's 1478-position model. The record is from RNAcentral.